This 768-nucleotide long non-coding RNA is filed under the name Camarhynchus parvulus. RNAcentral's name for it is "lncRNA (ENSCPVG00000006133.2)". The record is from RNAcentral. Lineage: Eukaryota; Metazoa; Chordata; Aves; Passeriformes; Thraupidae.
GGAGUAGCUUGUCAUGAUAAUGGAGGAGUGAAGAUGGGGCUGGAGAGUGAACGUAUGUGAGUUAGAGGAGGUCCAGACAAGCAGAAAAAAAGAAUGAAACAGAUUUAAAAUGGCUUCAGAAGUUACCUCUGAGAGUAUUUGAUCUUUGUUUUGGUAACACUGGGUCAUGUCAUUCAGGUUGGCUAAAAGCCCUUGCUCUUCAAAAGAGUUGUCAAAGAUUUAUUUUAUAAAAAUGUAAGUAAAAGACAAGCCAAACACUUUGUGUUUCAUGUUUUUUAGGUCUUUGUGUCAGCAGUAAUUUCUUGCUGUCUUAUUUAUUAUACACUAAGUAUUUCUAGAUAGAAAUUACUUCUGUCUUCUGAUUGAUACCUAUAUGAUACCCAACUAUUUCUCUCUGUAUGCGUUGUCUGUGUAAAUGUACAGGACCCAGUGGACCCUGGAGCCCAUUCCCAUCCUGCACAGCAAGAGCAGCCCAUUGCUGGCCCAGGUCAAGAUUUACCCAACAAAAACCCUGAUGGGAAACAGAGAAGUUCAGAAAGGUAAGAUGUUGAUAGGAACAACUGCUGACUUCAGCGUGCUCCAACACAGAGCUGGACUACUUCGGAGAAAUCCAGAUCAGAACUCAGCCAGCCUCCCUGUAAAUCACUAAGAGCAAAACUCUCAGCAGAAGUGCCACCCUGCGCUGCAACACUAUGGAUUAUCCUGGAGUAAACAGCAUGAGAGCAUGACCGUGUCAGCCCUGCCCCUCCCAGAAUAAACAUCCAACCC